AGAUCCCUGUGUACCUGAGGCCUUCUAAAGGUGCUGUCUUCCAAAAUGGGAUCUGAACACAAGAUAUGAACGCACAAAGGAAGAUAUAGCUACAUAGGUGAAACUGCACUGAAAAAAUAUCAAGUGGAAAAUUAACCUCAUAUAAACAACCAUGCUAGGAAUAAAAAUAAAAAUAUUAAAUGCUCUGCGUGUACAGAAAGGCAGCUUGGAUACUGGCCUGCACCAUUCAGUGUUCUCAGCAAAGACUAAUGUUGCAUUACAAUGAAUGUCACUUUAAUGAGGCAGAAAAAAUUGGUCCGAAGACAGCCUGCUGAAUUCAAUCACCUGCUUCACUUGACAUGAGAAACUAGUCACAGGACAUGCCAUACACAGCCCCAGCAGUGACAGUGCUCCCUGUAACAAUAUGAAGUUGCAAAAGAUUUCAACCUGUG
This is a long non-coding RNA of Gallus gallus (chicken), 431 nucleotides long. The record is from Ensembl. NCBI's taxonomy places the organism in Eukaryota, Metazoa, Chordata, Aves, Galliformes, Phasianidae.